Molecule: ribosomal RNA, 468 nt
Filed under: uncultured bacterium
Lineage: Bacteria
Description: partial 16S ribosomal RNA
Rfam family: Bacterial small subunit ribosomal RNA
Source: RNAcentral
GACGAACGCUGGCGGCGUGCUUAACACAUGCAAGUCGAACGGAAAGACCCUGCUUUUGUGGGGUGCUCGAGUGGCGAACGGGUGAGUAACACGUGAGUAACCUGCCCUUGACUUUGGGAUAACUUCAGGAAACUGGGGCUAAUAACGGAUAGGAGCUCCUGCUGCAUGGUGGGGGUUGGAAAGGUUCGGCGGUUGGGGAUGGACUCGCGGCUUAUCAGCUUGUUGGUGGGGUAGUGGCUUACCAAGGCUUUGACGGGUAGCCGGCCUGGGAGGGUGACCGGCCACAUUGGGACUGAGAUACGGCCCAGACUCCUACGGGAGGCAGCAGUGGGGAAUAUUGCACAAUGGGCGGAAGCCUGAUGCAGCAACGCCGCGUGCGGGAUGACGGCCUUCGGGUUGUAAACCGCUUUCGCCUGUGACGAAGCGUGAGUGACGGUAAUGGGUAAAGAAGCACCGGCUAACUACGUG